Molecule: long non-coding RNA, 1884 nt
Organism: Triticum dicoccoides
Lineage: Eukaryota; Viridiplantae; Streptophyta; Magnoliopsida; Poales; Poaceae
Exons: 3
Source: RefSeq, a predicted model, not a curated record
CGAGCGACACUGCUGCCCCACCCCGCCAUCCACGCGUGUCGCCGCCGCCCCACCCCGGCAUCCCCGAGCGACGCCGCCGCCCCACCCCGCCAUCCCCUAGCGACGCCGCCGCCCCACCCCGCGACUCUGGUGGAUCUCCGGGGAGGUGACCUUCUCGCUACAGCUGACUUGACCUCCGGAAAAAAAAGUUUCUCCCUCAAGCGGCGUUCUUGUCGCGUCCAUAGGAGUUGAGCUGGAGCAUCUUGGUGGACGAGGAGCAUGACGAUGCAGCCAUCGGCCUCCUACCACAACAAGCGACCACCGUGGCCAUCCUCCACCUGCCGCUGUAGCCUUCCUCCCCGACCGCCUCCACGACACUCUGGCCUUCGUCUACCUCUGGCUCCGCUGCUGCCCAAGGUUGUGUGCGCGAUGGCGACCCAUGUCGUUUAUCGUCCUGGUUGCGUACGCACUGACGAGUGAUGCCCCGAUCCAGCUCCUCCAUCCUCCAGCCACGGCAAGUCCAAGAGAAAGACAUUCAGUCUAGCAAGCCAAAUGGUUGACCACCAGCCCACGCGUGGAUUGGCCCCGACCUGCAGCUGGAGGAGGCCGCGACCUUCAGCUAUAGGAGACAUCAACCUACGACUGGAGGAGGCCCCGACCUUCAGCUGUCAAUUUUGAGGAACUAGCUACUCUGAUAAUCUAACUUGACACCGUAUUUGUUUUUGUUCUUUAUAAGUUCAGGCAACUAGGUUGUUCACUAGGAAAACCUUCUCUGUUUGUGCUAACUAGUAGUACGUACUACUAAACUAUAAUAAUCUUGUGAAGUGGAUAAUGCUCGUGCCCCUGGACGCUGGCCAUGUGAGAUUUUGAUGGCUUCGUACUUUUGUUAUUUGAUUUUUGAAUAACAGAAGUUCUCUUCUUUGUCUGUAGAAAACCCCAGUAUAUCACAUUUGUUUGUCGUUAUCCUCUGAAAAAUGGCAUUGUUGUAGGUUAGCUUCGCCUGAUGUGUUAGUUCAGUUUCGUAGUGCACGAUGGGCAUGAUCUAGUAACCCGCAGCCCGCCGCUGGCCGUCAACCCAACCGCCGUUGUCCCCGGCCACCACACAAGCAUUGCCGCUCCUGCAUCUCCGACCACAUUGACCUUCUCGCGAGGGCCACCUUGACCUUCCCAAUGAAGGUUCAUCCAUGGAGCGGACGCUCUCGCCACUCCACCGUCGCGUCAUGCCUGGCUCGUUGCACGUCUCCGCCCUCUGUCACAAGUGCGCUGCCACCGCAGAGAGCUUCCAGCACACUGCCUUGGCCUGCCCUUCCAGCGCCAAGCUUCCCUUGUGCGGCGUCGGCUACCACUCGUGGCAGAGCGGCUACUUCCCUCCCCGUUGUGCCAGCAGAAAAUUAUUGUGGAUUUGUACUACCGAUUACUAAAAAGUUCAGAAACAAUUCUCCCACAAACAUAAGUUCAGGUCGCUGUUUGUUGUUAGUUCAGAAUGUCCGGCGGUUGCGGAUCCGGUGGUGCUUGACUGCAGUGAGCCGUCGACGCGGGCACAGCAUCCGAUGGAAGCCGAGUCAAUUGUAGCCAACGCGAGGAGGGAUUAGUAUAGCUGUCUGUGGAGUUCAUAUCCAUACAUGGCGUGUUCUUGGUGGAAACGGCCGACAUAAAUUUGCUACAUGUUAAUACAACAAGCACUUCACUAUACUAGUCCUUUAACUUGUAGUUGUUGUAACUCUAGUCACUCGCUUCUGCAAAAAGUGAUGAUCUUUUUCCUAUUGUAUGAGUAGCUCAGUGGUGGUGGCUUUGGAGAUGGAUGAGAACAAAGGUGUGUGUGUGUGGUAGAAAAAAGGGUCCACGAAACUUGUAUUUUCUUCAUAUAUACUCUGAUUAUUUUGGUCGUUGGACUAUGGGUGUUUA